RNAcentral lists this ribosomal RNA (449 nucleotides) under uncultured bacterium. Its description in RNAcentral is "partial 16S ribosomal RNA". It matches the Rfam family "Bacterial small subunit ribosomal RNA", at positions 29 to 523 of the family's 1533-position model. The record is from RNAcentral.
AACGAACGCUGGCGGCAGGCUUAACACAUGCAAGUCGAACGAGAUCUUCGGAUCUAGUGGCAGACGGGUGAGGAUCACGUGGGAACAUCCCUUUCAGUUCGGAAUAACGUUGGGAAACUAACGCUAAUACCGGAUACGUCCUUCGGGAGAAAGAUUUAUCGCUGAAAGAUUGGCCCGCGUCUGAUUAGCUAGUUGGUGAGGUAAUGGCUCACCAAGGCUACGAUCAGUAGCUGAUCUGAGAGGAUGAUCAGCCACAUUGGGACUGAGACACGGCCCAAACUCCUACGGGAGGCAGCAGUGGGGAAUAUUGGACAAUGGGCGCAAGCCUGAUCCAGCCAUGCCGCGUGAGUGAUGACGGCCUUUGGGUUGUAAAGCUCUUUUGUCCGGGAAGAUAAUGACUGUACCGGAAGAAUAAGCCCCGGCAAACUUCGUGCCAGCCGCCGCGGUAA